RNAcentral lists this transfer RNA (74 nucleotides) under Paraburkholderia sp. BL10I2N1. It matches the Rfam family "tRNA". From Rfam's summary of the family: Transfer RNA (tRNA) molecules are approximately 80 nucleotides in length. Their secondary structure includes four short double-helical elements and three loops (D, anti-codon, and T loops). Further hydrogen bonds mediate the characteristic L-shaped molecular structure. tRNAs have two regions of fundamental functional importance: the anti-codon, which is responsible for specific mRNA codon recognition, and the 3' end, to which the tRNAs corresponding amino acid is attached (by aminoacyl-tRNA synthetases). tRNAs cope with the degeneracy of the genetic code in two manners: having more than one tRNA (with a specific anti-codon) for a particular amino acid; and 'wobble' base-pairing, i.e. permitting non-standard base-pairing at the 3rd anti-codon position. The record is from Rfam by way of RNAcentral. Lineage: Bacteria; Pseudomonadati; Pseudomonadota; Betaproteobacteria; Burkholderiales; Burkholderiaceae.
AGCGUGAUGGACCGGUCUGGCAGCUCGCCGGACUCAUAACCCGAAGGUCGUAGGUUCAAAUCCUACCCCCGCGA